AACGAACGCUGGCGGCGUGGAUAAGACAUGCAAGUCGAACGCUUGUACCGGAGUAGCAAUAUUUCGGUGCAGGAGUGGCGCAAGGGUGCGUAACACGUGGGUUAUUUGCCGUGAAGCUGGGAACAACUCGUUGAAAGACGAGCUAAUACCCAAUGUGCUCCGCAAGGAGUAAAGCCGGGGACCGCAAGGCCUGGCACUUCACGAUAAGCCCGCGGCCUAUCAGCUAGUUGGCGGGGUAAAAGCCCACCAAGGCGAAGACGGGUAGCUGGUCUGAGAGGACGACCAGCCACACUGGAACUGAGACACGGUCCAGACACCUACGGGUGGCAGCAGUCGAGAAUUUUUCACAAUGGGCGAAAGCCUGAUGGAGCGACGCCGCGUGGGGGAUGAAGGGCUUCGGGCUCGUAAACCCCUGUCAUUCGCGAACAAAGGUGCCAGCCUAACAUGCCGUCGCCUGAUAGUAGCGGAAGAGGAAGGGACGGCUAACUCUGUGCCAGCAGCCGCGGUAAU
Molecule: ribosomal RNA, 510 nt
Filed under: uncultured bacterium
Lineage: Bacteria
Description: bacterial SSU rRNA
Rfam family: Bacterial small subunit ribosomal RNA
Source: RNAcentral